GACGAACGCUGGCGGCGUGCUUAACACAUGCAAGUCGAACGGAAAGGCCCUGCCUUUGUUGUGUGCUCGAGUGGCGAACGGGUGAGUAACACGUGUGUAACCUGCCCUUUACUUUGGGAUAACUUCAGGAAACUAUGGCUAAUACCGGAUAGGAGCUCCUGCUGCAUGGUGGGUGUUGGAAAGUUGCGGCGGAUUGGGUUGGACUCGCGGCUUCUCUGCUUUUUGGUGAUGUAGUGGCUUACCCAGGCCUUGACGGGUAGCCGGACUGAGAGGGUGACCGGGCACAGUGGGACUGAGGUGGGGGCAAGACGGAUACGGGAGGAAGGGGCGGGAGAUAUAGCAAGAAGGGCGGAGGCAGGAAGGAGGAACGUCGGGUGGGGGAUGACGGCUUUAGGGUUGGAAACAGCUUGAGCCUGUGAAGAAGAGUGAGUGACGGUAAUUGAUAAAGAAGCAACGGCUAACUACGUG
Molecule: ribosomal RNA, 468 nt
Filed under: uncultured bacterium
Lineage: Bacteria
Description: partial 16S ribosomal RNA
Rfam family: Bacterial small subunit ribosomal RNA
Source: RNAcentral